RNAcentral lists this long non-coding RNA (3791 nucleotides) under Oryza brachyantha (malo sina). RNAcentral's name for it is "long non-coding RNA (OBRA_LNC002140)". Lineage: Eukaryota; Viridiplantae; Streptophyta; Magnoliopsida; Poales; Poaceae. The record is from RNAcentral.
CAUCUCUCUAAUCGAAGCAUCAUCUCAACUAUGCAUCGACGGCCGCGAUUUUGCAGGUGAAGCUGGUGCCGUACAACCCGGAGUACCAGGACGAGUCGGUGCUGUGGACGGAGAGCAAGGACGUCGGCAAGGGCUUCCGCUGCAUCCGCAUGGUGAACAACAUCUACCUCAACUUCGACGCCUUCCACGGCGACAAGGCCCACGGCGGCGUCCACGACGGCACCGAGAUCGUGCUCUGGAAGUGGUGCGAGGGUGACAACCAGCGCUGGAAGAUCCUCCCCUGGUGUAAGUUCAGCAAACCUCUCCAUCACCAAAACUGAUUGCAUACAUUCUUUCUGACAUUACUGAUUGCUUUCAUUUCUGCAGAGAGAUUAUCCGGGGAGAUGCAUUUGCAUUGCCAUUGUCAUCGUCGUCGUCUGCUCUGCUGCUAGCUAGCUAAUAAUUGAUCCGCUACCGAAAUAAGACCGUGUUCGAUCGGAGUAUCGGCAAUGGCAAUGGUGUCCGUCCUCAAGAGUGUCAGUUUGUGUGUGUGUGUCCAUUUGCGAGCCAGUGAUUGUCAUGAGAGGAGGGGCCCUGAUUUCUGAAACAUCUGAUGCAACCCAUCUUGCUUUCUAGUGCUAGGCCCUGUACUCUGUACUUCAGUACAGUAUGCCUAAUGAAUGAAUGAAUUGUGAACCGGCUCAUUUAUCUCGACUUUGUUUUCUCUGCUUCUGCUGUCUCUGACGUGUAAUGGUGAUGAAAAAAAAGGUUGUGGUACCAGUUCAAGUCAUAAUGAUGAAACAGCUGCUUUGAAAAUUUGGGUAUGACGAGACCACGAUUGAAGCCAUUUGGAAGCGCCUCGUCAUAUUCGAUCUGAUCUGUUUUCACCUUUAAACUUCGGUCUUUGAAACUAGGAAAUUCCCAUCAUCCGGUAACCACAGGAUGAUCCCAAUCUCCUUUUAGUAAUAGAUCUUUUUGAUAUGUCUCUUCAAACUUGUCAGCACAAAUGUGUGAACUGUCUUGUUAGUGAACCGAUCGAUCUUUGUUCUAACAAACAUGACAGAACAACACUACGACGUGCAAAAAAACCAGGUCAACAGAUAGUGUCAACCGAAGAGCAGAAACCUUGAGCAAACUUCAAAAAAUCAACAAACAAAUCAAAUGAAGAACACAACAUGUCGAGUUGCACACCGAACGAAUUAGAGCAAUAAUAAGCUAACAGUACCACUGAUCAACUUGUUUACGGUUUACCCAUAUUUUCAUGUGUUACUUCUAAGAAUUUCUAGCUCCCAAACAGGCCGUAUUCGACCGUUACGUGGGCCCUGAUCGGGCCCCUGUCCAUGAUGGUCUAACAUUUCUUCGUUUUUUUUCUUUUCUCGAUAAAAAAAAACUAAUGGUUUUAAUGGGCUUUUUGGGCCCAAAAAAUAGAUAGCGCCGACACUCUUUGGCAUAGCACCUCUCGGCCCACAGGACAGGAGUUUGACAAUAUUGAGACAGGGAGGAACAUUGCUCCCAUCGUUUUAAUGUUGCAUUUGUUUAUAAGCCGAAGCUUAAAUUAAAAACAUAAUUUUAAAGUUGAUUUUAUGGUUUUAUCAUCCUGAUUUAUUUUCAAGUAUUUUCUUUUGAAUCUUUUUUUUUCUUCAAGUGCUACAUAGGUGUCACGUCAAUGAAUUUUUUUUAAAAAAAUUAAUAAAUAAUUUUAUUACUAAACCUCAGGAGAUAAUAUUUCCACCGUAUGAACCUUUUAGCCAUGCACCAACAUUAGCGUGGCAGAACAAUGUUGCCACACAGAGUUUAUGCCACCGACACUGGCGUGGCAGGCGGGAUUAUUUUUUCAUAUUUUGUCACGCCAGGUUGCGUGGCAGCGUUAUCUUUUCAUACCACUGAUACUGGCGUGGCCAAAAGAUUUAUACGGUGAAAAUAUUUUUCUCCAAAGUUUAGUAAUAAAAUUAUUUAUUAAAAUGAUUUUAAAAUAAAAAAAUUCCACGUCAAUACAUGGGAUGAAGACCAAAUUGAACAAUUAACAGAGACACAAAGUUGGGGACGGUCUUUGUUCAGUUUUGCAGGACGUGAGUAUAAUUUGACCCAUAAUGAAGGGAUCUCAAAUAGACUUUCCAUUAUGGAUAUAUGAAAAUACUGGGCCCGUUGAUGUUUAUGCCCAUUAAUUACUCCAUGUUUCUGGCUAAAUUUUCUGGUGCACAAACGCGCGCUUAAUAAGUUUUUUUUAUCUGAGAUAAGUUAACUUUUGUGUAUAACCUUCGUCUUAUUAAAAAAAUUAUAUAACUAUUAAUUAUUUGAUUAUGAUUUGAUUUAUUAAUAAAGAAACUUUAUAUGAUUUAUAAUUUUGCAUAUGUACAUAAAAGUUUUAAAUAAAAUGAAUGAUACAAGGAUUAAAAGCUAGAUAGAAAAACCGGAGGGGUACAUCUAUCUCCAUCUCCAUGUAUUUUCUGCUCGAUCAGUUGGUUUAUCUCUGGUGGCGUGCAGCAAUCAAUUUUGUCUGCUUAAUAACAACGCAGCAGGCAGGACGGCGAACCUGAGAUUCUCCGGCCACGGCCAGGUUGCACCGUCGAUCUGCGUCGUGCAGCCAAGCCACUGCUUUUCCAGCACCCGGCUGCAAUAAUAAUAGGCCAGCCAGAUCGAUCGAGAUGGCUACCAAAACGACUAGAAAUCGAAUCAUGUAAAGCGAUCCAUCCAUCCAUCCGUGGCUGGAUCGAAUCACGCAUCUACCUUUGGGGUAGCAAGUGUCAAAUGGCAUCAUCUAUCCUAAAUUCCUAAGCCCCUGACCAUGCAAUGGAUGCUCAUCAGCCAAUCUGACCAGAAACAUUGGAUUAUUCCAACGCCACACACAUCAAUGGAAUCAAUGGCCUCAUCCUAUGCAGAUAGCAUCUCGAUCGUCUCGUCUCUUCUCUUCUCCCAGCUAGCUCUGCGCAUCGUCAUCGAUCGAUCAACACCCCGCGCCUAUAAAUUUGUCCAUGCCAUGGCUAGCCAUGCACUGCGCACAUCGACCGAACACCAGGUAGCAGGAAGCUAGCUAGCUAGCUAGCUAAGCCAUGGACGUGUACAGGCGAGAGCAGUACGGCUACGGCGGGUACGGCUAUGGCGGCGGCAUCGCGACGCCGGGGUACGCGCCGGCGGCGCCGUACGGGAUGUCGCACGUGAACGUCGAGGGGAACGGCGGGGGGGGGGCGCCGCCNNNNNNNNNNNNNNNNNNNNNNNNNNNNNNNNNNNNNNNNNNNNNNNNNNNNNNNNNNNNNNNNNNNNNGCCCCCCCCCCCCCGAAGCCGACGGUGAAGGUGUACUGCCGCGCCAACCCCAACUACGCGAUGACGGCGCGCAACGGCGCGGUGGUGCUGGCGCCGGCGAACCCCAAGGACGACUACCAGCACUGGAUCAAGGACAUGCGGUGGAGCACCAGCAUCAAGGACGAGGAGGGCUACCCCGCCUUCGCCCUCGUCAACAAGGCCACCGGCCAGGCCAUCAAGCACUCCCUCGGCCAGUCGCACCCUGUAAGCUAGCUUACUCUUAAUUCGCCAUUGAUGAUGGCCGGCCGGCUAGCUUGAGUGUGAUCGGUCAAUCCAUGGUGAUGGUGAUGGAUGUGCGCAGGUGAGGCUGGUGCCGUACAACCCGGAGGUGCUGGACGAGUCGGUGCUGUGGACGGAGAGCCGCGACGUCGGCAAUGGCUUCCGCUGCAUCCGCAUGGUGAACAACAUCUACCUCAACUUCGACGCCUUCCACGGCGACAAGUACCACGGCGGCGUCCGCGACGGCACCGAAAUCGUGCUCUGGAAGUGGUGCGAGGGCGACAACCAGCGC